Molecule: ribosomal RNA, 469 nt
Filed under: uncultured bacterium
Lineage: Bacteria
Description: partial 16S ribosomal RNA
Rfam family: Bacterial small subunit ribosomal RNA
Source: RNAcentral
GACGAACGCUGGCGGCGUGCUUAACACAUGCAAGUCGAACGGAAAGGCCCUGCUUGCCGGGUGCUCGAGUGGCGAACGGGUGAGUAACACGUGGGUGAUCCGCCCCUUACUUUGGGAUAAGCCUGGGAAACUGGGUCUAAUACUGGAUAGGACCAUGCUGUAGGUGGUGUGGUGGAAAGAUUAGUUUCGGUAAGGGAUGAGCUCGCGGCCUAUCAGCUUGUUGGUGGGGUAAUGGCCUACCAAGGCGUCGACGGGUAGCCGGCCUGAGAGGGUGGACGGCCACAUUGGGACUGAGAUACGGCCCAGACUCCUACGGGAGGCAGCAGUGGGGAAUAUUGCACAAUGGGCGCAAGCCUGAUGCAGCGACGCCGCGGGGGGGAUGACGGCCUUCGGGUUGUAAACUCCUUUCAGCCAUGACGAAGCCCUUGUGGUGACGGUAGUGGUAGAAGAAGCACCGGCUAACUACGUG